CCUACGGGAGGCAGCAGUGAGGAAUAUUGCACAAUGGGCGAAAGCCUGAUGCAGCGACGCCGCGUGGGUGAAGAAGGUUUUCGGAUCGUAAAACCCUUUUCUGUGUGACGAGAACGGACGGUAGCACAGGAAUAAGUCUCGGCUAACUACGUGCCAGCAGCCGCGGUAAU
This 170-nucleotide ribosomal RNA is filed under the name uncultured bacterium. Its description in RNAcentral is "partial 16S ribosomal RNA". It matches the Rfam family "Bacterial small subunit ribosomal RNA", at positions 338 to 524 of the family's 1533-position model. The record is from RNAcentral.